UCCAUUUUUUUCUCUCUUUCAAACUCUCACAACUCUCUCAAUUCUCACUUGUUUUUGUUCAUUCAAAGUGCUAAUUUGCUUAAUUUUGGUCAAGGAAAUUGAUUUUAGUAAGCUCUUUCUCUAAAAAUCAAGGUACAAUGGGGGCUAAAAAGCCGAGUAACAAACGCCAAAAGCCCGUGGCUAACAAAGAACCUUCAAGUGCCACGGUUCGGCAUUCGACCGCGAGUGAGAAAAAGAACCUCAAGAUAAUCUCUCCCCUUGAAAUCAAUCCAACCCGUUUUGCGGAUAGGACUUUGCUCCAAAAGAUGGGGAUACUUGAGAGGUUUGAUGAGUUAUUCGUUGGAAUGGGACUUGAGGUGCUUGCACGAAUGGAUUAUCCAACUUACCCCGACCCAACCAUCGAUUUUUUGUGCACAAUGGAGUAUACAUUUGUGAAUCCGAGAGUUCCUAAAGCUCAAGAGGGUCCCAUCACUUUCAAGAUCAAGUCUACGGCCUACACCAUCUCUAUCCCGGAUCUUUGUGAAGCUUAUGGUUUUGAGAACAAUAGCUUGAUGAGUUUCCCUAAGUUCGCGAAGAUUGAUGUUUUAUGGGAUGCGCUAGCAAAAGGGAACUACGUUAGCCACAAGGCAAAGAUCACAAAGAUUCGCCAUCCGGUCAUGCGAUACACGAUGAAACUCCUCGCCCAUGCCUUGUUCGGGAGAAGUGAGACGGGUACAUCAACAACAACGGAGAUGUGUUUUGCUUUCCAAGGGCUUAAAAACGUUUUGGUUGAAGAUACCGAUGAAUAUGGUGAGGGACCAAUUGUGCAAGAUUGCCUUGGGAAUGAUGUGAACUACGGUUGCGUCUUUGCAACUUAUCUUGUUGGGUACAAGAAAAUGCUCAUUAGGGGACGAGCAAAGGCUAUACACAUUGGCGGGAUUCUUACGCCUCUUUUCACCAAAGCGGGAGUGGAUCUCUCCACGUUUCUUCCAUGCCCGUCACGCGCUUACAUUGACUACGUCUACUUGGUCAACACCUCGACGUUAAAGGCUAAUAAUGAUCCCAACCGUUUCAUCUACAAGUUUACGGACAUAGAUGAGGAUGACCAAGAGUGUAUGCUACCUUUAGACGAUGGUAAUCUCACUUGUUUAUCCUCCCAUGAACUAGUGGAGUUCAUAGUAAGUGUAGAGCAAUGUGGAAUGCCACUUGGUGAACCAAUGGAGAUUCAAGAGACUUCGCCAUCACCUCCGUCUAGACCAUCCCGAGAUGAUCCUUACCGCCUCAACACUUAUGAGCUUCCUAAAUUCAACUUCAAACCGAAGACUAAGACGGAAAAGAUGCUUUCUUCCGUGAUCAAGUUUCAAAGAAAGAUCAACAAAUGGCAAGCUUAUGCCAUUGGGAAGCUUUUCAAGACGGUUAAGAAGCUCAAACCCGAGGGAUAUAUCUCUUCCGAGGAUGAGGACUUGCACCGCCCUCAAGAUAGUGAGGAUUAGGACCAAGAAGACAAUGAGGCGGGUGAUGAAGAAAGUUAUGAGGCAACGGAGGAUGAUGAUGAGGUAGAAGCUCGACGAUCCACCGGAGAUUGUUCUUCAAGCAACCCCGCGAUCAUUGAUCCACCACGACGCUCUCUCCAAGUGCCAAUCCAAAAACAAGGCAAACCUCGGACAAAGAAAGCUAGCAACGCUCGUUAGAGCACUCCAUGAUUGUGAAAUCUUGAGAGAAUCGAGAACGACAAGGUAUUACACUUCUGGUUCACCAUGAAGAUGUGUCAGUGUCUCGACUUGUAACGAAUCAUCAAAAACAAUUGGAUUAGCAGUUUCAUUCUGCAACGGAGUAAAAUCCAGAUUGUCAGUAAGCAAUACUUUUCCUCUUGGUUGUAUCACAAUUGUUGCGUUCCAUUGUUGACCCCUUUUCUGAGUAAGCCGUGGAUACGGCACAUAGCAUACUUGAUCUGCUUGAGAAGCUAAUAUGAAAGGGUCGUACUUCCCAUAACGUUUUGCAACGUUAACAUCGAUUA
Molecule: RNA transcript, 1996 nt
Organism: Capsella rubella
Lineage: Eukaryota; Viridiplantae; Streptophyta; Magnoliopsida; Brassicales; Brassicaceae
Exons: 3
Source: RefSeq, a predicted model, not a curated record